AAAGUUGAAAAGAACUUUGAAGAGAGAGUUCAAGAGUACGUGAAACCGUUCAGGGGUAAACCUGAGAAACCCAAAAGAUCGAAUGGGGAGAUUCAUCGUCAGCUCAUUUUGUAUAUAUAUGAGUUAUGAUGUGGGUUACUACUUGUAGUAUUGCCUAUACAUUCUUAUACAUUUAAUUGCAAGAUGUUGUCGGCGUGCACUUCUCCCCUAGUAGAACGUCGCGACCCGUUGAGUGUCGGUCUACGACCCAAGUUGGUAGCCUUUAAUGAUUUUGUAAAAAAUUUCAUUAAAAACAUUUGGUGUUUUCGGACCGACUGCUUGGCGGUAUUCAUAUGGUAUUAAGCCGCAUAUUUUUAAUAUGCGUCCAUGCCCGUCGCAAGCGCGGCCAAUUUCUGAUANUACGGACUUAGCGCUGUCGUUGGUAUUGGCCAGCUGUUGGUUGUACGGUGUUCUAGGACUGGCUUAAAUUAAUUACCUGUCAGCGAUGCUACUGCUUUGGGUACUUUCAGGACCCGUCUUGAAACACGGACCAAGGAGUCUAACAUGUGCGCAAGUCAUUGGGUAUUUUUUAAAAAUUAAACCUAAAGGCGCAAUGAAAGUAAAAGUUAAUCUUGCAUUAACUGAGGGAGGAUGAGUUAUAUUAAGAUAUAGCUCCGCACUCCCGGGGCGUCUCAUUCUUAUUGCAAGAA
RNAcentral lists this ribosomal RNA (689 nucleotides) under Parahormius sp. BIOUG09572-A05. RNAcentral describes it as "partial 28S ribosomal RNA". It matches the Rfam family "Eukaryotic large subunit ribosomal RNA", at positions 360 to 789 of the family's 3401-position model. The record is from RNAcentral. Lineage: Eukaryota; Metazoa; Arthropoda; Insecta; Hymenoptera; Braconidae.